RNAcentral lists this ribosomal RNA (563 nucleotides) under uncultured Glomeromycotina. RNAcentral describes it as "SSU rRNA". It matches the Rfam family "Eukaryotic small subunit ribosomal RNA", at positions 548 to 1114 of the family's 1831-position model. The record is from RNAcentral. Lineage: Eukaryota; Fungi; Glomeromycota.
UUGGAGGGCAAGUCUGGUGCCAGCAGCCGCGGUAAUUCCAGCUCCAAUAGCGUAUAUUAAAGUUGUUGCAGUUAAAAAGCUCGUAGUUGAAUUUCGGGAUCAGAUUGUCGGUCGUGCCUGGUACGCACUGGCAUUAUUGGUUCCUACCUUCAGAAGAACCGCGAUGUCAUUAAUUUGGUGUCGUGGGGAAUCAGGACUGUUACUUUGAAAAAAUUAGAGUGUUUAAAGCAGGCUUACGCUUGAAUACAUUAGCAUGGAAUAAUGAAAUAGGACGUUUGAUUCUAUUUUGUUGGUUUCUAGGAUUGACGUAAUGAUUAAUAGGGAUAGUUGGGGGCAUUAGUAUUCAAUUGUCAGAGGUGAAAUUCUUGGAUUUAUUGAAGACUAACUACUGCGAAAGCAUUUGCCAAGGAUGUUUUCAUUAAUCAAGAACGAAAGUUAGGGGAUCGAAGACGAUCAGAUACCGUCGUAGUCUUAACCAUAAACUAUGCCGACUAGGGAUCGGAUGAUGUUAAUUUUUUAAUGACUCAUUCGGCGCCUUACGGGAAACCAAAGUGUUUGGGUUC